This is a long non-coding RNA of Felis catus (domestic cat), 5257 nucleotides long. RefSeq lists it as uncharacterized. The record is from RefSeq and is a predicted model, not a curated record. The transcript has 4 exons. Lineage: Eukaryota; Metazoa; Chordata; Mammalia; Carnivora; Felidae.
GCGAGAUCGUGACGUGGCUGAAGUCGGACGCCUAACUGACUGCGCCACCCAGGCGCCCCUCCUCUGUAGGAGUCUUGACUUGUGGCUCAUCUAUCACCUGGGUAAGGUCUCUCUUUUUUCAACACCUUCCACCAUAAUCUUAAGCACUCCCACAAACUCAUUUUCAGUUAACAUACAACUAAGAAAAACAGAAUGUUUGCUUCUCCCCAUUCGCAGUUCUAAGCAGAGUACUGUCCAUAGGUUCCUCCUAUACAAAUUCCAGCGCUGUCAAAAAGAAAUCCUUUACAUGUCCAGGGUAGGUGAAAGGAAUGAGUGUUGAAUGAAAAGAACAUGGGCAAACAUCUGCACGGGUGGAAAGGAGAGUAGUCGAUUCGGGCAAAGAAAUAAAACUCAACCAUUGGUUGACUUUUGGGUGAUCAGGACUGGUAAUAUAAUCUUACUCCUGUAUUCACUAUGGUUGUGCAGGUAUAGCUACAGAAUCACUCCUAGGGCAGGAUUACAGGUGGAAGCCAGACCAUGUGGCAAUUAUUUUCUUCAGCACAAAAUUGCAUUUGAGAAGCUGGCCAAUCACUAUUGCUAAACCUCCAUCUAGAUUCUUCUACCUUAAUUCAAUGCCACAACAUUAUUCUGAUUGGCAUUGCGAGGUGGGUUUUUUGUUUUUGUUGUUUUGUUUUUUUUCGUUUGUGUUUGUUUUAAGGAAAAAAAUAAAGACAAAAAGUAAUCAUGUUGUUAGCAAGAUGGAUUCAAUACAACGUGAUUUGGGUUGUUUUAACAUUACAGCUUAACUAAAUUGACCUUGGUUUUUAGACCAGUUGAAUAGAUACAUAUUACUCUGAUUUAACAAAAGGAUGAAAGAAUAAUUAAAACAUGAAAUUUAUGCAUGCACCAUCUAACUACCUCUGUGUAGUUAAAUGUAAUUUGUAGAUUUCCAGCAAGGAAUUUGUGGAGAAUUAAAAUGAAAAGAAAUAAAGGCUUGGGAAAGUAGCACUGAAAUGGAUGGAAAAUAUGAAAUUAAUUAUCUCUAGUCCAAAAAAAAAAUCUGUUUCUUAUAAAGAAUUGGAAAUCUGUUGCACUUCAGAAUUAUUUACAUUGUUUCACAAAUGUUCUCACUGUCAGUGGAAGAAUGAUAUGUGAACAAGUAUCUUUUGUCACAUGAGCCAUGUAUAUAGAGCUGGGAAAGGGUCCAGAGGACUGGUCCAGUCCAGUUCUGUAUCCAGUAGGAUGAAGACCUCAACUGCUUGAAAUAAGUGGUUCCUAUCUACUUUUGCUAGGUCUUUCUUUUAUGUAAAAACAAGCAAACAAAAAAUAAAAAAAGGAUGACCUGUUUUUCUUCUUGAUUUUUAAAAUUUCUUUAAAGAAAAUAUUAUCUGAAACAUUAUAUAAUCUAGACUCAGUUUUAGGUUUGUUUUUUUCUGUUUUUAUGUUGUAUCAAUACUAAGAAAAGGAUCAAGUUACCAGCAACAUACUAAAAAUUUCCCAGCAGAUAUGAAUUUAGCUCUACAUAUGUAAAAAAGAAUGAACUGAUUUGAAGGGGGAUUAGUUAGAAUUGGCAACACUGAAAAAGGAAAACUGUAGAAGAAAAUCUUAGUGGCACUCAUUCAGCUCCUAUCCAGAGGAAAAGGAGUGUUCGUCACCAGACGAAGUACUGAGAUCACAAUGGGCAUCUCACUUCUAUUUUGAGAUCAAUAUUUUAAGAUGACUUAGCUCGCAUAUAUUAAACUUGAAAUUCAAUUGGGCCCUGAUAAAAUACUUAUCAAGAAAACUUCUAUUAUCAUUAGGAUUUCCAUGAAGCUCUGCCUACAAGGAGAAAAUCAUCUUGACCCUGGACAGACCAGAAAACAUUUAGAAUCAAAUCUAGAAAACUUAUUCUGGGAAUGAGCAGCCUCUAAAAAUUCUUUUGGUUUGAGAUUGUCCUGGUUUGUGCAUGACAAGCAGGGGAAAGCAAUUGUGCUUCCUAAUUUCAGCUGGUGAUCCUAAGGAUCCACACCUGGGCUGGGGCGUGUGCAAACAGGUAUCAGGGAGCCAAACACAGAGCCUGAGCCAUUCUUGCUCUUUCAGAGAGUAUGCCUCUGAGCUGUGCCUAGAGUGGUUAAGCCUCCAGAGUUAGUGAAUUCUAUAGGUGACAAGCUAUGGUUCUAACAAUCUUUGAACCUAGAUGUGCUUUUUAAGUCUUACCUGCUCUUCCAGUGAUUGAGAUUCUCCACCUAUAAAGCCCCCAGAUGAAAUCUGCAAAGCCCAGAUCUUCAGGAUGGGAGGAUGCACAGGAACCAUAAGCAGAUGCUCAGAAAUAGAGAAUCUUCAUUUGUUGAAGAUAAGAAGGGCACAGAAUGGACUAGCAGAAAACAGGUACUCAGCUGGUAAAGAAGGGAGAGACCCAACAUUUGUUUUGGUCUGCAGGAUAGAACUUCAUUUUGAGGCUGGUGGAGAAGAUACAAAACUCAGAAGCCUGCUCCACGGAGACUGCCUGGCUGACUGCUAUUUCUAAGUUUAUCAUACUGUAAGGAAUCACAGCAUGUAUUUCCAAUGUCAUCCCUGACCUUGUGAGGAGGUAGAAGACUGAAAGAAUUUGGAAGAAGCUGUAGUGUGGACAAGAGAACACAAUUUGGGUUAAAGAAUGAUUACAACCACAUAGUACUAUGCAUUCUGAGGUCUGACCUCAUAAACUGCGAUUCUGAUCACCUAUGGCUGAGACCAUGUAAGAAACGUGACUGGUAUUUCACAAGUUAUUUGGAAGCCACAAAAAUAUGUCUGACACGAGGUAGCUCUUACUGAACCUUGUAAAAUGGAAAUGCAAAGUUUUUAUACCACAAUGAUAAUGUAAUUGAGAAAAAAAAUCUUUUUAAAGUAAAGGAGCAUAAAACAUCAUUUUUUGAAGAACUUAAUGGACUAUUGUGGCGCUCUGGGUGCUAGGUCACAGCUACACAGUAUUUUACUGACUUUUGCAAGUACACUGAAUUCUAUCACCACAGUUAAGGGACCUCAUGGUCUCUCUCUUCAAUGAUUUAAAUCCUUGAGAAUUAUUUAAGUGCUUAUAUUAUUCUCCUUACUAUUUCCACACCCACCUUCCAACUGAGAGAAUUCUUUUAAAUUACCUAGAUGCAUACCCUCAAUGCACGUAUGCACACAAAGUGUCUUCUAGUGGUUUGCACUUAGAAAACUAUUCCUCUACAAAUGAAUGGCUCUCAUUGGUGCUAAAUAAUCAGAUAGCAUCAUUCAUUCUAGCCCCGUAAAAAUGACCAAAUAAGAAAUUGAGUGACAUAAAACAACAGUUGAACGUGGAGGUUCACGAGUGUGAAGCACGACUCCUAACUGGGAAAUGAAUCCCAUCACCUCACAUAGGAUUGUUCUGUGUUACUUUCUUAGCAAUAGUUUUAGUUUUUUCCUCUAAUAACUCACUGCCUUAAUUACUUCUAAUAGACCUUAAAGAAGACCCGUAUUUUUAUUCAAAGAUGCAAUAAUGACUUCCACACAAAACCAUCAUUAAAUAAUUUUUCCUGAGGACCUUGAAUUUCAUUUUCCUAGAAAUCAUUGUUUUGAAUCUAGUUUUCUUUCUGGUGGCCAGAAUGCAGAUGUUUGUCUUCGCUUCCAGUUUUCUACCCUAAUAUUAACUUUGCCCUUCAACUUGGGUAAAAAUCAUAUAAUAGUAAUGAUGCUUAAAAAAAGGCACUUAUUGGUUAUAAUGGCAUAGUUUUAUAAUGGUACUAGUUUUCCUGGAGGGCCUGAAUUUUAUUUUGAAAUCAUAUGUAAUGAGUUCCUAAAAGUGCCAUGUCAUUGCAUUUUUCUGGAUCUUAAAGGUAUUCUUUUUAUGCACUAAUUACAUAUAGUACCUCAAAUUUUAAAUUUUGGUCAUAGAACUGAACCGAUUCCUACUGGGAAAAGUGGGAGAAUGGGGGAAAAAUAAUUAGAGCAAAAAUAUGAUUAUAAAUAUUUGAUAUAGUUACAUUAGGAAUUAAAGACAGGUUCAAGUUGAGGUUAAGUAGUUUUAACAAGCCAUCCUUUAAGUUUUAUGAUAGCAUUUGGGUGUUGAUCUGUUACACCUAUUUAUUAUACUCUGGUCUUUCCUCGGCUGUUAACAGCUGGUCAGCAACUCACUUUUGCCCUGGGAUUUUUAGCCAUGCAGGCAUGGUUACCAUCAAUGCCUUUAAAAAGAUUUAUGCUUAAAAAAAUAUUUUACAAACCUUUUGUAAAACAGAGGCUGUCAAAUAAAUUGGAUGACAUUUCUGUCCCAUUUGAUUCCUGGCAUUGGGCCAAGACCUCUAUUAAAAUCAAAGAAUGCAGUCAGCUCUUCAAGCACUGUCUCUUUCUGCAACUGUGGUUUUGCAAAGACCCUGCAGAUUCUGUAGCCCAGAAGGCUGCAUGUCCUGAGUGGGUGCUUUCCUUUUUAGCAGUAGCAGAAUAACAGGACACUGAGCAUCACGCAGAGGCCUCAACCCAGCCUUGUUCCUUCCACUCAGACACAUUGUCUAAUGUGGGAAUUGCACCCCGGGGAACCAGACAUCAAGGUUUCAGUCAUUCAUUGAAAUACUGCCCCAUAAAACACCACUCCAUUUUGUUGCACCAGACACAGGGGCAGGUAUGUGUGCACAUGCCUCUCUGGGCUAGGAAAUUGCUAAGGAAAAGCAGAGCAGAGCUGGUAGAAGCAAGUUCCAGGUUCCAAGGUUUCUAAGAAGCCAUGUUUGACAGCACACCACAUUUUCUGUUUCAUUGGUUUCCAUUAAUUUUUAAAAUGUUAUUCUAAGUCAGAUAAGCGAUUUUUCAACCAGGAUGGGGUUAUAUUUCUGAGAAUGCAGAUAAAAUCAAACUUUAAAUUUUGGUAAGGGAAUGCAACUUGAAUUCUACGUUAGAAAACUUAAGUUUUGUGUUCGUGUUCAGUAAGCUUGGCUAGGAGCCUGGAUGUGGGAAGUCGGAACGUAGAACCAAGCUCAGAGAUGGGGUAAAGGGCUUACUCUUGAAGCUAGGACUAACAAGUCUUGUCAAUCCAAGGACAGAGGCCAAAACUCGCUCUGGGAAAGGAUGGCCUAACUUCUGGGCUUUUCAGGGUGAACUCGGAGCCUCAAAGAAGAAAUGAUAUAAAUGAAUAGCUGGCUUCCUAGACCAAAGAGAAGGAGGACCAUGCACAUAAAUUCAUGGGUUUUUAAGAGUUGGAGGGUGCUUCCUAAUGUUACAGAUGAGGAAACAGAGAUCCAAGGGGACAGCUGUCUCUAUCAGGCUCAUUUAUGUGAUGGGGGUUGGGAGUGGUGGGAAGCAAAUGGACAAA